Long non-coding RNA from Cebus imitator (Panamanian white-faced capuchin), 436 nucleotides. RefSeq lists it as uncharacterized. The record is from RefSeq and is a predicted model, not a curated record. The transcript is spliced from 3 exons. NCBI's taxonomy places the organism in Eukaryota, Metazoa, Chordata, Mammalia, Primates, Cebidae.
AUUAUUCAUGAGGCCAGACCAGCUUCCCGGGAUCGCGGCUCUGGAUUGGCCCAGCCUGCGAGAGGGGCAGCCGCAGCUCCUCGGGCCGUGAUUGGUCGGGGCAGCCUGGCUAAGCUAGGCACGUGCGGGGCCAGAGAUGGAUAUGACUGCUUUACAGAACAGUUGGGAGGAUUACCUGUGAUGAGCAAUGCCAAGUGCCCACCUGGCAUGGUGUAGUGUGGAGUAGGGUUUGGUCUGCAAAUGGAGAGCUGCUGUAAUAGUGCCCUUUCCAGAGAAAAGUCCUCACCUCUGCCCUCUGUGACGACUCAAAAGCCACUACCCAAUAGCCACGAUUUCUCCAGUCAAAGCCAUGCUGGGGGGGGGGGACAGUGGUGGGGCUCUGGAGCUGGACCACCUGGGGCUGAUUCCUGCUUCUACUUUACUUGGCCUUUGAACA